GACGAACGCUGGCGGCGUGCUUAACACAUGCAAGUGGAGCGACGAACCAGGGCUUGCCCUGGGGCAAAGCCGCGAACGGGUGAGUAACACGUGGGUAACCUGCCCCGAAGACCGGGACAACCCGAGGAAACUCGGGCUAAUACCGGAUGUGGUCACUCUUCAUAAGGAGAGUGAGCAAAGGAAGCUUCGGCCUCCGCUUCGGGAUGGGCCGGCGGCCCAUUAGCUUGUUGGUGAGGUAACGGCUCACCAAGGCUUCGAUGGGUAGCUGGUCUGAGAGGACGAUCAGCACACUGGGUCUGAGACACGGCCCAGACUCCUACGGGAGGCAGCAGUGGGGAAUCUUGCGCAAUGGGCGACAGCCUGACGCAGCAACGCCGCGUGAGGGAAGAAGGCUUUCGGGUCGUAAACCUCUUUCAGGAGGGACGAAGCUUCGGGAGUGAAUAGCUUUCCGGAGUGACGGUACUUCCACAAGAAGCCCCGGCUAACUACGUGCCAGCCGCCGCAGUAA
RNAcentral lists this ribosomal RNA (508 nucleotides) under uncultured bacterium. RNAcentral describes it as "partial 16S ribosomal RNA". It matches the Rfam family "Bacterial small subunit ribosomal RNA", at positions 28 to 523 of the family's 1533-position model. The record is from RNAcentral.